This 808-nucleotide long non-coding RNA is filed under the name Anser brachyrhynchus (Pink-footed goose). Its description in RNAcentral is "lncRNA (ENSABRG00000019703.1)". Lineage: Eukaryota; Metazoa; Chordata; Aves; Anseriformes; Anatidae. The record is from RNAcentral.
AAAGAUGUCAAAGAGAUACCCAGAACACCCACUGUUUGAGCUCUUCCCAUUCUCAUUAAAAUAAACUCUUAUGGCCCAGCUAGUGUUAAUCAUGUGAUAAAAUACUCAAAUUAAGAGCAUUUAAUAAAAAAACAUGGUGGGGAGCUUUUGUUAAGGAUCUCUUUAGUGUAUUUUUGCAUUUGAGCUAAGGACAUAAGAAAUAAUUUAAUCAUUGCCUGAUUAUAAGAAUGUUAGAAAUAAUGGGAUCAUCGCCUUCUCACACGUGGGCUAAUUCAGAGGCUCAUUAUUUAUUUGUCAAGCAUUAGGCAUCAAAUCAAUUUGGCUGGAUACUUGAAAGCAGGAAAUUGAAGAUGAAAGUUGAAAUGAAGAUUAAGAAAUGGGAGAGCUUUUAAACCUAUUUGUUAGCUGUUUUACACCUGACGUGUGAAAGGCAGAGGAGUCUCUGCUUUGCUUCUAAAGCUCCUGACUUGUUCAGUAGUUGGGCAGAAUUCGGUGUAUUGCCUCUUAGUGAGCGUUGUGAGCGUGCAGCGUGCCUCCCAUGUGUAAUCGGAUGGGCUGAAGCUCAAAUGAGCCACCACAGAGCCCUGCCGCUGCUGGACAGCCAGGUAUACCUCCCUUGUGAUGAAGAAGUUGGGAUGCUGAUGUCAUAACGAAGCUGCUACAGCUGGUUAAAAUCUUGGUUUGCUGUAUGUCUUCUGUCCACAGACAGAAGCGCAUUAUUUAACAACAAAAAGAAGAGGGGACUUGCUAGGUCUGCAGCUGGCCGUUGGAGAAUAAACUGGUGUUGCUCUGCUUUCUCUUAAUGACC